Molecule: ribosomal RNA, 607 nt
Filed under: uncultured bacterium
Lineage: Bacteria
Description: bacterial SSU rRNA
Rfam family: Bacterial small subunit ribosomal RNA (bases 1-534)
Source: RNAcentral
CCUACGGGAGGCAGCAGUAAGGAAUAUUGGUCAAUGGAGGCAACUCUGAACCAGCCAUGCCGCGUGCAGGAAGAAGGCCCUAUGGGUCGUAAACUGCUUUUGUACCAGAGAAAACCACAGUACGUGUACUGUGUUGAUAGUAUGGUAAGAAUAAGCAUCGGCUAACUUCGUGCCAGCAGCCGCGGUAAGACGAAGGAUGCAAGCGUUAUCCGGAUUCAUUGGGUUUAAAGGGUGCGUAGGCGGACUGAUAAGUCAGUGGUGAAAUCUCUCAGCUUAACUGAGAAACUGCCAUUGAUACUGUUAGUCUAGAGUAUAGAUGACGUUGGCGGAAUAUGACAUGUAGUGGUGAAAUACUUAGAUAUGUCAUAGAACACCGAUUGCGAAGGCAGCUAACGAAACUAUAACUGACGCUGAGGCACGAAAGUGCGGGGAUCAAACAGGAUUAGAUACCCUGGUAGUCCGCACCGUAAACGAUGAUUACUCGUUGUUGGCAAUAUGACCGUCAGCGACCAAGCGAAAGCGAANAGANACACGNGGAGUACGCGGCGACGAGAACGACGAAGAAGUAGAGACGNGAGAGNGCGACGGACGACGACGAGGGAGGAGG